GUAGUUAGCCGGUGCUUAUUCCUGGGGUACCUUCAUCAUUUAUUCCCCCAGAAAAGGAGUUUACAACCAAAAGGCCUUCGUCCUCCACGCGGUGUCGCUCCGUCAGGCUUUCGCCCAUUGCGGAAGAUUCCUU
This 133-nucleotide ribosomal RNA is filed under the name uncultured bacterium. Its description in RNAcentral is "partial 16S ribosomal RNA". The record is from RNAcentral.